This 216-nucleotide ribosomal RNA is filed under the name Glomeromycotina sp. RNAcentral's name for it is "partial small subunit ribosomal RNA". The stretch from base 75 to 216 matches the Rfam family "Eukaryotic small subunit ribosomal RNA", at positions 721 to 864 of the family's 1831-position model. The record is from RNAcentral. Lineage: Eukaryota; Fungi; Glomeromycota.
GGGUCAGUAGGUUGGUCGUGCCACUGGUACGUACUGGUCUCACUGAUUCCUCCUUCCCGAAGAACCGUAAUGCCAUUAAUUUGGUGUUGCGGGGAAACAGGACUGUUACUUUGAAAAAAUUAGAGUGUUUAAAGCAAGCUAACGCUUGAAUACAUUAGCAUGGAAUAAUGAAAUAGGACGAUCGAUCCUAUUUUGUUGGUUUCUAGGAUUGACGUA